GAGGAAUAUUGGUCAAUGGGGGCAACCCUGAACCAGCCAAGUCGCGUGAAGGAUGAAGGUCUUAUGGAUUGUAAACUUCUUUUACACGGGAAUAAAGCGGGGGACGUGUCCCUCUUUGCAUGUACCGUGUGAAUAAGGAUCGGCUAACUCCGUGCCAGCAGCCGCGGUAAUACGGAGGAUCCGAGCGUUAUCCGGAUUUAUUGGGUUUAAAGGGUGCGCAGGCGGGAUGUUAAGCCGGCGGUGAAAUUUUGCAGCUCAACUGUAAAAGUGCCUUCGAUACUGGCCUCCUUGAGUGUGGAUGAAGUAGGCGGAAUUUGUGGUGUAGCGGUGAAAUGCUUAGAUAUCACGAGGAACUCCGAUUGCGCAGGCAGCUUACUAAGCCACAACUGACGCUCAUGCACGAAGGCGUGGGGAUCAAACA
This 421-nucleotide ribosomal RNA is filed under the name uncultured bacterium. Its description in RNAcentral is "bacterial SSU rRNA". It matches the Rfam family "Bacterial small subunit ribosomal RNA", at positions 356 to 774 of the family's 1533-position model. The record is from RNAcentral.